AGUGAACGCUGGCGGUAGGCCUAACACAUGCAAGUCGAACGGCAGCACAGUAAGAGCUUGCUCUUACGGGUGGCGAGUGGCGGACGGGUGAGGAAUACAUCGGAAUCUACUUUUUCGUGGGGGAUAACGUAGGGAAACUUACGCUAAUACCGCAUACGACCUACGGGUUAAAGCAGGGGAUCUUCGGACCUUGCGCGAUUGAAUUAGCCGAUGUCGGAUUAGCUAGUUGGCGGGGUAAAGGCCCACCAAGGCGACGAUCCGUAGCUGGUCUGAGAGGAUGAUCAGCCACACUGGAACUGAGACACGGUCCAGACUCCUACGGGAGGCAGCAGUGGGGAAUAUUGGACAAUGGGCGCAAGCCUGAUCCAGCCAUACCGCGUGGGUGAAGAAGGCCUUCGGGUUGUAAAGCCCUUUUGUUGGGAAAGAAAAGCAGCAGGUUAAUACCCCGCUGUUCUGACGGUACCCAAAGAAUAAGCACCGGCUAACUUCGUG
RNAcentral lists this ribosomal RNA (492 nucleotides) under uncultured bacterium. RNAcentral's name for it is "partial 16S ribosomal RNA". It matches the Rfam family "Bacterial small subunit ribosomal RNA", at positions 29 to 507 of the family's 1533-position model. The record is from RNAcentral.